Mauremys mutica (yellowpond turtle) is the source of this 1183-nucleotide long non-coding RNA. RefSeq lists it as uncharacterized. The record is from RefSeq and is a predicted model, not a curated record. Lineage: Eukaryota; Metazoa; Chordata; Testudines; Geoemydidae. The transcript has 3 exons.
UCACGCAGCACGCAACGGCAGUGCCAUAGUAACCGCGGACGUCACAGCAGCGACUCUCGCGCGCGGGGCGACGGUCUGGCGAAGGAACACUCACGUCUCAGGAGCCAGAGCAAAUCCCGCUCCUCGCGUAGUGGUGCCGGCUGGUUCCGUCAGAGCCGUGUCGCGAGCUGCUCGUAGCUAGGGCACGCGGCACCCCGCCAGGCAGCUCGGGCCGGGGGCAGUGUGCCAGGGUAGGGCGGAGGAGGUGAGGUGUUUCUAGCCCAGGGUGGCUGUGCCAGGGCAGGGCUAGCGAGAAGGCUGCACACAGGCGCUAUGGAAGUGUAAGCAGAGUCAGAACAGGCUCUAUCCUGACAUCUGGUGGGGGAGAGCCUGAAGAUAUAUUGGUGAGUGUCUAACGGGACAGCUGGUGGAGAGGAGCAGCUCAGGGUGAAGACUGCAGCAGAACCCCACGGAGAGGCAUGGCAAUUGACCAUCAACACGAGCAGCGGAGCACGGAACCCCUAUGUGCUGAACCCGGCCCUUGACUGCUGUCAACUCGGCCUCGCAGAAGGGUUACAGAAGAAAAAGAGAGAGAAGAAAGAGAGAAAGAAAAAACCAGCUGGACCUAUUAAAGAAGCAGAACCAGAACCCCCUGGCCCCAACGAUUUCCAUCACUCUCAAAAUCCACAAAUGGGAACACUUAUGUCCUGCAUACAGUGAGGACGAUGAUAUUGCGGAAUAUCUGACUACCUUUGAAAGACUGUAAUACAUGAAAUCCCUGAUGAUAAGAGAGUUCUUACCCUGAUUGCAAAAUUAACUGGUAAAGCUUGAAAUGUAUUCAAUGGAAUGCCUAUUGAAGAUGCUUUAGACUAUUGUCAACUUAAAGAUACUGUUCUGCAUAGUUUUCAGAUUACCCCCAAUCAUAUAGAAUUAAAUUUAGGAAUCUUAAAAGGGUUAUUGGGAUGAGUAAUGGGUAAUAUGUAAACAAAAUGAAAUAUUUGUUGGGAAAAUGGGUGAGGGGUAAAGAGGUGGCAAGUUUUGAAGAAAUGCUUGAUCUUGUUGCUUAAGAGCAUUUCUUAAGCAUAUGUAAGGCUGAAGUAAAGCAGUGUCUGUGGGACAAAGAUGUAAAGACUGUGGAUGAGAUGUUUCUUUUUAGCUGAUGGCUCUGAAAAGACUCAGGCGUCUAUUGAGGGCAGGUCACAGA